AGCCUGAUUGGGAUUCUCUCUCUCUCUCUCUCUCUCUCUCUCUCUCUCUCUUUCUUUCUCUCUCAAAAUAAAUAAACUUAAAAAAAAAAAAAGAGUACAAUUAGGGAGACCAACUAAGAGGCUGUUGGAGUAAUCCAGGCUUGGACUUUGAUAUUGGAAUAGUGGAAGUGGUAAAAACCAUUCUGAUUCUGGGGCCAUUUUGAAGAUGGAGUCAACAGGUUGUCCUGAUUGAUUAGAUGCAGUGUGUGACAAAGAGAAGAAUCAAAAAUGAUUCAAUGAUUUUGGGAUUGAGAAGCUUGAAAUAUAAAAUUGGCUUCAACUGUGAUGAAGAGGCUGCUGAAAGUCAACAAUGGCGUAUCCUGGCAGAGUCUAGGAAUGCUCUAGGUCACAUUCCCCUAAAAAGAGAAGAGGCUAAUGGACAAAGACUGUGUCCAAAAUUAUAAUGAACUGACAAAGAGAUAUUUUCAUAACAGGAAACUUUGGGUGUUUGGGGAAAAAAAUGGAUGUGAAAAUGUGGAAUUUGUCAAUUAACUCUGCAAAGAUGAGACACAAAACAGCCUUAACGCUGAUGGAUGGGUAGACUCUCCCAAGGAAUAAAGUAAAACUUCUAUCUUC
Long non-coding RNA from Herpailurus yagouaroundi (jaguarundi), 615 nucleotides. RefSeq lists it as uncharacterized. The transcript is spliced from 2 exons. The record is from RefSeq and is a predicted model, not a curated record. Lineage: Eukaryota; Metazoa; Chordata; Mammalia; Carnivora; Felidae.